RNAcentral lists this ribosomal RNA (333 nucleotides) under uncultured bacterium. RNAcentral describes it as "bacterial SSU rRNA". It matches the Rfam family "Bacterial small subunit ribosomal RNA", at positions 43 to 365 of the family's 1533-position model. The record is from RNAcentral.
GGCCGCGGGAAUUCGAUUCAGGCCUAACACAUGCAAGUCGAAAGAAGCACCUUCGGGUGCUUAGUGGCGAACGGGUGAGUAACGCGUGAGGAACCUGCCUUUCAGUGGGGGACAACAGUUGGAAACGACUGCUAAUACCGCAUAAUGCUAUCGGACCGCAUGAUCUGAUAGCCAAAGAUUUAUUGCUGAAAGAUGGCCUCGCGUCUGAUUAGCUAGUUGGUGGGGUAACGGCCCACCAAGGCGACGAUCAGUAGCCGGUCUGAGAGGAUGAACGGCCACAUUGGGACUGAGAUACGGCCCAGACUCCUACGGGAGGCAGCAGUGGGGAAUAUU